This is a long non-coding RNA of Tympanuchus pallidicinctus (lesser prairie-chicken), 1336 nucleotides long. RefSeq lists it as uncharacterized. The record is from RefSeq and is a predicted model, not a curated record. NCBI's taxonomy places the organism in Eukaryota, Metazoa, Chordata, Aves, Galliformes, Phasianidae. The transcript has 3 exons.
UCAGGGAUCUGGGGGAGCUCAAAGCUGCUCCUGGAUGCUCAGGGUGCUUUUAUUUACGAGCCACAAAUUGUUUUAAAAGUACUUAACAACUCAUCAGUAUCAAAGUGUGUUUUGAUCAGAUGCAAUAAGAUUUUUGCACAUCUAAUCUCAUACCUACAUUUGAGUAUCCUAAUUGCUUCUAGUUGUUAAAGUGCAGAUAAGCAAGAGAUGCUGAAGAAUAUUUGAAACAACAAGGAAUUUCUGUUGUCUUUGUUCCCAGAAGCAGCUCUGCCAUUCCAGGAGCAUUCCCUUUUUGUGGAGAAAUUGGGCACACAUAGCUCUGACUUGCACUAGGACCUGACAUAGAAAGCAGGGCUCUGGAGUGGCUCCGGCACACAAAGCGUCAUUAGGAUUAAGAUUUGUGUCUGAACUCUGCUGAGUUCUUCCACUUCAUUAUACCAGCUGUUCUUCACCUGCCAGCAGGGUCUCACACCCACAUCUCUUCCCCAUGCCUGCCAUCCCUGGAUCCUCCUUGCUCUCAGCACUUUGGAGUUCAAAUGCAGUAAAACUAUGGGUGCUAUUCUUGUAUUAUUAGUGGUGUUUGUAUUCAAUUUGAAGCUGUGAGUUCAGAUCUGGCACAGUGCAGCCUGGUGAACAAUAGCUAAUGCAUCAAAAAGCAGACAUAACAAAACACAGCAAAAGCAGCAAAGCUUGGUUCAAAAUUCCUGCGUAUUUUCAUUUCCCAUUUAUUUGGCAUCUUGCCUUGUCAGACACAGUACAAUCUUCUCCGAUUGUUUCUGGUUAGUGCAACGUAUCUCUGUCUUAAAUCCUCUCCCUGAAUUCAAGUUACACUGCCUGCAGAACGCAUGCAAGGGAGAGCUCAUCAAUUGUGCACUCUCUUGGGGUGGUGACCUCUGUCAACAAGCUGUUUAUGGCUCCCAGGAUGGAGCCAAAUGGAUACCAGUUCUUCCUCUGCUGCAAGGAGCUGUUGACAUGAUUACAGCUGAUUAAAAAAAAAAAAAAAACUUUCCAUCUUAUAUGAGUGUAAAAGUGAAUCAUUGCUGUAUAUAGGGACCCUUCAGGUCAACAUCUUUGAAGGCAGUCCUGGGGCCAGGGCAGCCACCUCCUGGGAACGUGCUUGAAGUAUACACCCCAGCCAGAGCUGCUGAGGGAUAUUCUGCAGUAGAGGCAGAUGGGCUACAGCAUGAUUUCUGUAUUUUAACAUAAAAUGCAAUAGAAAGAAUAUAUGCAGCAUUUUUUUCACGAAGUAAGGAGGGGAAUGGACCAAGCAGGGAAAGGCUGGGGAGCUUAUCCUUCUGCUUUUCUGAGGAGGAUGUCUUUCCCAAGACAGCAGAGG